This 396-nucleotide ribosomal RNA is filed under the name uncultured bacterium. RNAcentral describes it as "bacterial SSU rRNA". It matches the Rfam family "Bacterial small subunit ribosomal RNA", at positions 505 to 898 of the family's 1533-position model. The record is from RNAcentral.
GUGUCAGCAGCCGCGGUAAUACGUAGGGAGCAAGCGUUGUUCGGAUUUACUGGGCGUAAAGGGCGCGUAGGCGGCGCGGUAAGUCACUUGUGAAAUCUCUGAGCUUAACUCAGAACGGCCAAGUGAUACUGCAGUGCUAGAGUGCAGAAAGGGCAAUCGGAAUUCUUGGUGUAGCGGUGAAAUGCGUAGAUAUCAAGAGGAACACCUGAGGCGAAGGCGGGUUGCUAGGCUGACACUGACGCUGAGUGCGCGAAAGCCAGGGGAGCAAACGGGAUUAGAUACCCCGGUAGUCCUGGCCCUAAACGAUGAAUACUUGGUGUCUGGAGUUUCAAUACUCCGGGUGCCGUCGCUAACGUUUUUAGUAUUCCGCCUGGGGAGUACGCUCGCAAGAGUGAA